GAGGAUGUAGCUCAGUGGUAGAGCACAUACUUAGCAUGCACGAAGUCCUGGGUUCAAUGCCCAGUACCUCCA
RNAcentral lists this transfer RNA (72 nucleotides) under Camelus dromedarius (Arabian camel). It matches the Rfam family "tRNA". From Rfam's summary of the family: Transfer RNA (tRNA) molecules are approximately 80 nucleotides in length. Their secondary structure includes four short double-helical elements and three loops (D, anti-codon, and T loops). Lineage: Eukaryota; Metazoa; Chordata; Mammalia; Artiodactyla; Camelidae. The record is from Rfam by way of RNAcentral. RNAcentral also lists the same sequence under 1 other name.